This is a long non-coding RNA of Cercocebus atys (sooty mangabey), 387 nucleotides long. RefSeq lists it as uncharacterized. The transcript is spliced from 4 exons. The record is from RefSeq and is a predicted model, not a curated record. NCBI's taxonomy places the organism in Eukaryota, Metazoa, Chordata, Mammalia, Primates, Cercopithecidae.
CUGGGCUGCCUCUUACCUAGCAGGAAAUUAAAAUUUUAAGGGCUAAUUCCCCUUAAUUCAUUCAACAAAUAUUUACUAUGAUGAAGAAAUGUUCCAUGCAGAGGAAAUGGCCAAUGCAAAGAGCUCCUGACUGGAGGGCAUGUGGCACAUUCUAGGAGAGUGAGGAGCGUGGAGGCUGGAUUUCAAAGGUCAACUGAGAAUGGCAGAGGACUCAUCUCACCUUUGCCACAUGGUGACUCGCCCCACUCCCCCAGGUGACCUUGCUUGUGCAUGUGGAUAUUUGCUCAGAUUAACGUUUCCCACAAAAUUGCUUGCUCUCUUUCAUUCUGUCCGUGGUUGGUUGUCGUUUAUUUGUUGAUAACUGAGAGUAUUUAAAAAUUGCCAAAA